RNAcentral lists this transfer RNA (71 nucleotides) under Thamnomys kempi (Kemp's thicket rat). RNAcentral describes it as "tRNA-Gln". It matches the Rfam family "tRNA". From Rfam's summary of the family: Transfer RNA (tRNA) molecules are approximately 80 nucleotides in length. Their secondary structure includes four short double-helical elements and three loops (D, anti-codon, and T loops). The record is from RNAcentral. Lineage: Eukaryota; Metazoa; Chordata; Mammalia; Rodentia; Muridae.
UAGGAUGGGGUGUACAGGUAGCACGGAGAAUUUUGAAUUCUUAGGUAUAGGUUCGACUCCUAUUGUCCUAG